UAAGGGUUCCUGGGUCAAGCUGAUCUGCCCAGGGUAAGUCGGGACCUAAGGCGAGGCCGACAGGCGUAGUCAAUGGACAACCGGUUGAUAUUCCGGUACCCGCUUUGAAACGCCCAAUAUCGAAUCAAACGAUGCUAAGCCCGUGAAGCCGUUCCGGACCCUUCGGGGAAAGGAAAGUGGUGGAGCCGGUGACCCGGAUCUGUAUUAGGUAAGCGAUGGGGUGACGCAGGAAGGUAGUCCAGCCCGGGCGGUGGUAGUCCCGGGGUAAGGGUGUAGGCCGUGUUGUAGGCAAAUCCGUCACACAUUAAGGCUGAGACCUGAUGCCGAGCCGAUUGUGGUGAAGUGGAUGAUCCUAUGCUGUCGAGAAAAGCCUCUAGCGAGUUUCAUGGCGGCCCGUACCCUAAACCGACUCAGGUGGUCAGGUAGAGAAUACCGAGGCGUUCGGGUGAACUAUGGUUAAGGAACUCGGCAAAAUGCCCCCGUAACUUCGGGAGAAGGGGGGCCAUGUCUGGUGAGGGAAGUUACCUUCUGAGCUGGGUGUGGCCGCAGAGACCAGCGAGAAGCGACUGUUUACUAAAAACACAGGUCCGUGCGAAGCCGUAAGGCGAUGUAUACGGACUGACGCCUGCCCGGUGCUGGAACGUUAAGGGGACCGGUUAGC
Molecule: ribosomal RNA, 661 nt
Filed under: Streptomyces netropsis
Lineage: Bacteria; Bacillati; Actinomycetota; Actinomycetes; Kitasatosporales; Streptomycetaceae
Description: bacterial LSU rRNA
Rfam family: Bacterial large subunit ribosomal RNA
Source: RNAcentral